This 72-nucleotide transfer RNA is filed under the name Mesitornis unicolor (brown roatelo). It matches the Rfam family "tRNA". From Rfam's summary of the family: Transfer RNA (tRNA) molecules are approximately 80 nucleotides in length. The record is from Rfam by way of RNAcentral. Lineage: Eukaryota; Metazoa; Chordata; Aves; Mesitornithiformes; Mesitornithidae.
UCCUCGUUAGUAUAGUGGUUAGUAUUCCCACCUGUCACGUGGGAGACCGGGGUUUGAUUCCCCGUCAGGGAG